UAGCCAGAUUAGAUUAAAACACAAUAUAAAUUACUUUUUAUAUAUUUAAAAUACUUCACUAAAUAUUUUAUGCAUUUCUAUGUCCUAUUUUAUUAGAAUUAAUAAUAAUAUAAUGUAUUGUCAAUUUUCUCCCUAAAUUGAAUAUAUUUCUCUACAGUUUUCUCAAGAGGGAUUUGCAGAGACAGGAUGCUAUGAAAUUACCUCUCCCAUGCCCUCCACAGUACUAAGACUGAGGUACCUGUCUACAUCAAAAGAUGAGUACUACAAUGCAGAUGACUUAGCCAGUUGGCUGACUAGGGAUGUUGGAUGCCAGGUCUCCUCAGAAAGAUCAAAGUUACAGGUGAAUGCCCAUGAUUUAAAUGGAAAUCUGAGGGAAUGAAGCAAGGACCUGUUGGAGCACCCAUGGGAAGAACCUGGGGCACAAAAGAGGAAAGCAGCAAGAGACUGACAGAGAUUGUCUCCCUAGAAACCUGGACCACGAAAAGGGUGGAGAGGAGAAAACUCUGUGCUAAAUAUUACUCCUGGAAAAGUGCAUUUGCUUCGGAGAAAUCUUUAUCAUGGGUCUCUAAGAGGAAGGAACAAUAGCAUCUUCUAUGUGCCGAGGUAGCGCAAUAAUGAACUCUGUUCAAGUGGAUCAAAAGCCAUCAAGGUCAAAAUUAGGCACAGGCUGUACAGGAAGCGUGAUUCUGGCAUCUGUUUGGUUUCUGGGAAGGCCUCAGGAAACUUAAAGUCAUGGAAGAAGGGGAAGGGAGAGCAGGCACGUCUUACAUGACCAAAGCAGGAAGAAGAGAGAGAAGUGUGGAGGUGCUAUACACUUUUAAACAGCCAGAUCUUGUGAGAACUCUGUCAGAAGAACAGCACUAGGGAAAUGGUGCUAAACCAUUCUUGGGGACUCCAUCCCUGUGAUACAAUCACCUCCCACCAGGCCCCACCUCCAACACUGAGAAUUACAACUCAACAUGAGAUUUGGAUGGGGACACAGAUCCAAACCAUAUCAAAUUUUCACACCUUUCAGUAAAGCUUUAUAUUUUUUAAGGAUAUUUAAGUACUUGGAAGUAGAAGUAGAGAGUAAGGGGAAUAUUGUACAGCCAUCACAGCCUUUGUCUACUAAAGAAGUCAGUUUCAUGUGACAAAUGUUCAUUUUAAUAUUCGCUUCUUCAGUCCAUCUGGGGGUGUUUCCUUAUUUCUAUAAGAUGCUGCUUUUCAAAAAAAUUACCGAAAGCAUUCUGGAAAUCCAAGAGUAAUUGUGUGAACUAUAAGCAUUAGAAAACACAGACAUAAGUUGAAAAUAUUUAUGAACCUAAAUAGAUGUAAAGCUAGUGACUCAUAUUUUAUAAUGUAUUCACAGAUGAUAUUUCUUAAAUAAAGUAGGCAUUUCUUUAAAAUAAAAA
Molecule: long non-coding RNA, 1391 nt
Organism: Homo sapiens (human)
Lineage: Eukaryota; Metazoa; Chordata; Mammalia; Primates; Hominidae
Product: long intergenic non-protein coding RNA 377
Source: Ensembl